ACGGGUGAGUAAUGCCUAGGAAUCUGCCUGGUAGUGGGGGAUAACGUUCGGAAACGGACGCUAAUACCGCAUACGUCCUACGGGAGAAAGCAGGGGACCUUCGGGCCUUGCGCUAUCAGAUGAGCCUAGGUCGGAUUAGCUAGUUGGUGAGGUAAUGGCUCACCAAGGCGACGAUCCGUAACUGGUCUGAGAGGAUGAUCAGUCACACUGGAACUGAGACACGGUCCAGACUCCUACGGGAGGCAGCAGUGGGGAAUAUUGGACAAUGGGCGAAAGCCUGAUCCAGCCAUGCCGCGUGUGUGAAGAAGGUCUUCGGAUUGUAAAGCACUUUAAGUUGGGAGGAAGAGCAGUUACCUAAUACGUGAUUGUUUUGACGUUACCGACAGAAUAAGCACCGGCUAACUCUGUGCCAGCAGCCGCGGUAAUACAGAGGGUGCAAGCGUUAAUCGGAAUUACUGGGCGUAAAGCGCGCGUAGGUGGUUUGUUAAGUUGGAUGUGAAAUCCCCGGGCUCAACCUGGGAACUGCAUUCAAAACUGACUGACUAGAGUAUGGUAGAGGGUGGUGGAAUUUCCUGUGUAGCGGUG
This 585-nucleotide ribosomal RNA is filed under the name Pseudomonas sp. StFLB259. RNAcentral's name for it is "bacterial SSU rRNA". It matches the Rfam family "Bacterial small subunit ribosomal RNA", at positions 102 to 683 of the family's 1533-position model. Lineage: Bacteria; Pseudomonadati; Pseudomonadota; Gammaproteobacteria; Pseudomonadales; Pseudomonadaceae. The record is from RNAcentral.